This 253-nucleotide ribosomal RNA is filed under the name uncultured bacterium. RNAcentral's name for it is "partial 16S ribosomal RNA". It matches the Rfam family "Bacterial small subunit ribosomal RNA", at positions 524 to 776 of the family's 1533-position model. The record is from RNAcentral.
UACGGGGGGGGCAGGCGUUGUUCGGAAUUACUGGGCGUAAAGGGCUCGUAGGCGGCCAACUAAGUCGGAUGUGAAAUCCCCAGGCUUAACCUGGGAACUGCAUCCGAUACUGGAUGGCUUGAAUCCGGGAGAGGGAUGCAGAAUUCCAGGUGUAGCGGUGAAAUGCGUAGAUAUCUGGAGGAAUACCGGUGGCGAAGGCGGCAUCCUGGACCGGCAUUGACGCUGAUGAGCGAAAGCUGGGGGAGCAAACGGG